This 1722-nucleotide long non-coding RNA is filed under the name Physcomitrium patens. Its description in RNAcentral is "long non-coding RNA (PPAT_LNC013238)". Lineage: Eukaryota; Viridiplantae; Streptophyta; Bryopsida; Funariales; Funariaceae. The record is from RNAcentral.
AGUAUCUUGACCUGCAUGGUUAAAAACGUGUGAGAAGUAUCAAAGUGCUAUCACAGGUUGGAUUACGAUCAGGUACAGAAGUGACACUUGCUUUCAUUUCUGAUCCUUUCAUUAUCAUAACACUCCACCAUGUGGGAACUCAAACAAGUGGCUAUGUCACUAUGGUGGCACGUGAAGCAGUUUUACAGCCAUUCUAGCUUCUUUUUUCUUUUAAAGCGUGUGCCCCUUGUGCAGCAAGCUUAAAGGUUCACUCCAGAAAACGCAACAAGUAUUGCCUAUUAAUAAGUCGAGAAGCAAAAACAGUUAUUCUGGCGAGCAAGACUUAUGAAGGUAAAUUUUUACCUGUCUACGAAUGAAAGUUGAGGGCGGGGAAGUGGGUUAUGCUUCGAUCCCCACGACCCAGGAUCCUCCCAUGUAUUUAACAUUAUUCCAUCCAUUGGGGUCUGACACCCUGUAUAUGAAGACAGAUUAGUGGAGCUUGCAACGGCCGUGGUGCCCGUCACCCCCAUAUUCUUUGUGUAUUGAACCUUUUGAGCAGCUUGCACGGCAAUCUUUGAAACUGGUACAUACAUGGAGCGCUGGCUCCCCGAUAAGGAUGGAUUCGUGUUGAAUACUCCCAAACCACUUUGCAAUCCAUUUGGCUGAGACUUGAGCUGAAGAGGUGGGAUGUUUGAAAUCGGUGUAGCUGUAGAUAAAUAAGGUGAGGACUUAGGAAACUGAUUCUUGAAUGCAUUAGAUCCAGAACUUGCGCCCAAGGAGCUGUUGGAGGACAGAGGGGUCGUUGCUUCGCCAGGUCUGUUGGCCGAUGUGAGGCAAGAAUACGCCAGCGAACUAGUAUUGGGUCGAGUGAAUGCGUUGAAGCGGGAGGAAACUGAUCCCGCCGGUAACUUCCCUAAUUGAGCCUCCGUCAAUUGUUGAUUUAACCACCUGCGCGAACAUUAGCAUGUGAACCAUGUACUCAGUGCCUAGUCCCCCAACUCGAAUAAAACAAUAAAUUCGUUAUCAACAAUAGUUAUGGUUGCUCGUCACAAGAGGUUCCAGAAACUUAAUUAUGACAACUAAGACUUUCAGCUGCGCCAUUGUUCUGUGCUCAGAUUCGUAUAAAGGAAAGAUUCUCUGGACACAACGCGGGACAUUAAGAGAUGCGAAGCUGAAUCUUAAAACAAACGACAUUAAACGAUGAGCCAAGUACUGGAUCAUUUGUUGAUUGGAUUGCAGUAGAUUCUGUGCUUCAUCCAGUUUAGUAGUGAGCUCCUCCGACUGGUCACACACAACAGACUUGGGUAUGAAAAUCUUUGAAGAAUCAUGUUAACGAACAUUAUGAUUAGCCUUAACCACCAGAGAAUAUUUUAUUUCUUUGAUUUUCAUAUAGGACUCGCGACUUUGAAUUGCCAAGGAAUUACCUUCUUCUUUUUAUCUUCCAUAUCAGCUUUUAGGGCUGUCAACUCAUUCCGUAGAUUAGCAUUGUCUGCUUGAGCCUUGUCAAUAGCAGACUGCCGCUCAUUGAGCAAAUUGUCCUGCUGACUCGUGACCUGACCUUUGAGCUUCACUUUUUGCUUUGAAGCGCGUAAUUCAACCUGCACGACAAAGGAUAAUUGGAGAAAAGAAAAGAAAAGUUCAGAAAUAAAGGCGUGCUCCCAUGAACGUCUUAGUACUCAAAUUUCAAGUAUACCUCGUGUAAAAUUUGAUGACGAAAACGCAAUAUAGUCAACUUAGUACCUG